Molecule: ribosomal RNA, 463 nt
Filed under: uncultured bacterium
Lineage: Bacteria
Description: partial 16S ribosomal RNA
Rfam family: Bacterial small subunit ribosomal RNA
Source: RNAcentral
GACGAACGCUGGCGGCGUGCUUAACACAUGCAAGUCGAACGGUGAAGCCCCAGCUUGCUGGAGUGGAUCAGUGGCGAACGGGUGAGUAACACGUGAGCAACCUGCCCCUGACUCUGGAAUAAGCGCUGGAAACGGCGUCUAAUACUGGAUACGAGAAGGGUCCGCAUGGGCACUUUCUGGAAAGUUUUUCGGUUGGGGAUGGGCUCGCGGCCUAUCAGCUUGUUGGUGAGGUAAUGGCUCACCAAGGCGACGACGGGUAGCCGGCCUGAGAGGGCGACCGGACACACUGGGACGGAGACACGGCCCAGACGCGGACGGGAGGCAGCAGUGGGGAAGAGUGGAAAAUGGGCGAAAGCCUGAGACAGCAAGGACGCGGGAGUGAUGAAGGGCUGAGGGUUGUAAAGCUAUUUGAACAGGGAGGAUAAUGACAGUACAGGGAGAAUAAGCUCCGGCUAACGCCGUG